Non-coding RNA from Pelobates cultripes (western spadefoot toad), 337 nucleotides. The record is from the annotation of a GenBank genome assembly. Lineage: Eukaryota; Metazoa; Chordata; Amphibia; Anura; Pelobatidae.
GUUAUAAUCACUACUUCACUUCGGGACCUGGGAGACUUGAAUGGAUAUACUCAGUCGGAGUAUAGGGGAUCCGUUACAAUGGCUAGCUGGCGUUUCUUGAUUAUUCUGACUGAUAGCAUGCAUCCGAAGUCUAGACAUAUUCGCUUAGCCUAUCUAUUGUUAUGUUAUUAUAAAAAAAAAAAAAAUGUUGAAAUGCCAUCUGUUUCUCUUAUAUAUAUUUUCGUACUUGCUCCGGCUGUCAUGGCAUUGCAAGCUUGCCUGUAAUUUCACUGCACAACAAAAAUAAAGAACAAAAAAAAAAGGGGGUAAUCCAAACUUGGACCCAGUGCACACUGUG